This 450-nucleotide ribosomal RNA is filed under the name uncultured bacterium. RNAcentral's name for it is "bacterial SSU rRNA". It matches the Rfam family "Bacterial small subunit ribosomal RNA", at positions 355 to 825 of the family's 1533-position model. The record is from RNAcentral.
UCAAGAAACUUCCACAAUGGGUGAAAGCCUGAUGGAGCGACGUCGCGUGAUGGACGAAGUGCUUCGGCACGUAAACAUCUUUUAUGUGGGAUGAAAUUAUUGACAGUACCACAUGAAUAAGGGGCUCCUAACUCUGUGCCAGCAGGAGCGGUAAUACAGAGGCCCCAAGCGUUAUCCGGAAUCACUGGGCGUAAAGGGUGUCGAGGCGGUUGUAUUAGUCGUUCGUAAAAUCUACGAGCUUAACUUGUAGGCGGCGAACGAAACGGUACGACUUGAGGUUUGGAGAGGUGCGUGGAACUCACGGUGUAGGGGUGAAAUCCGUUGAUAUCGUGGGGAACACCAAAGGCGAAGGCAGCGCACUGGCCAAAAUCUGACGCUCACACACGAAAGCUAGGGUAGCGAAGAGGAUUAGAUACCCCUGUAGUCCCUGAGCGGGCUGGCAAGGCGCAU